This 499-nucleotide ribosomal RNA is filed under the name uncultured bacterium. Its description in RNAcentral is "partial 16S ribosomal RNA". It matches the Rfam family "Bacterial small subunit ribosomal RNA", at positions 28 to 507 of the family's 1533-position model. The record is from RNAcentral.
GACGAACGCUGGCGGCGUGCCUAAUACAUGCAAGUCGAGCGGACUGAAUGGGAGCUUGCUCUUGUUCGGUCAGCGGCGGACGGGUGAGUAACACGUGGGCAACCUGCCCGCAAGACCGGGAUAACUCCGGGAAACCGGAGCUAAUACCGGAUAACACCGAAGACCGCAUGGUCUUUGGUUGAAAGGCGGCGCAAGCUGCCACUUGCGGAUGGGCCCGCGGCGCAUUAGCUAGUUGGUGAGGUAACGGCUCACCAAGGCGACGAUGCGUAGCCGGCCUGAGAGGGUGACCGGGCACACUGGGACUGAGACACGGCCCAGACUCCUACGGGAGGCAGCAGGAGGGGAUCUUCCGCAAUGGGCGAAAGCCUGACGGAGCGACGCCGCGUGAGCGAAGAAGGCCUUCGGGUCGGAAAGCUCUGUUGUGAGGGACGAAGGAGCGCCGUUUGAAGAAGGCGGCGCGGUGACGGUACCUCACGAGGAAGCCCCGGCUAACUACGUG